Molecule: ribosomal RNA, 433 nt
Filed under: uncultured bacterium
Lineage: Bacteria
Description: partial 16S ribosomal RNA
Rfam family: Bacterial small subunit ribosomal RNA
Source: RNAcentral
AGCGAACGCUGGCGGCAGGCCUAACACAUGCAAGUCGAACGGAACCUUCGUGAUUAGUUGCGGACGGGUGAGUAACACGUGGGAACGUGCCCGUUGGUUCCGAACACCUCAGUUUAACUUGAGCUAAUACAGGAUGUGCUAUUCGGGGAAAGGAUUUAUCGCCAUUGGAGCGGCCCGCGUCUGAUUAGCUAGUUGGUGAGGUAACGGCCCACCAAGGCGACGAUCAGUAGCUGGUCUGAGAGGAUGAUCAGCCACACUGGGACUGAGACACGGCCCAGACUCCUACGGGAGGCAGCAGUGGGGAAUCUUGCGCAAUGGGCGAAAGCCUGACGCAGCCAUGCUGCGUGAAUGAUGAAGGUGUUAGGAUUGUAAAAUUCUUUCAGCGGGGACGAUAAUGACGGUACCCGCAGAAGAAGCUCCGGCUAACUUCGUG